UACAGAGGUGGCAAGCGUUGUUCGGAAUUACUGGGCGUAAAGGGCGCGUAGGCGGUCUUGUAAGUCUUGUGUGAAAUCCCUCGGCUCAACUGAGGAACUGCACGGGAUACUGCGAGACUUGAGUUCGGGAGAGGGAAGCGGAAUUCCGGGUGUAGCGGUGAAAUGCGUAGAUAUCCGGAGGAACACCGGUGGCGAAGGCGGCUUCCUGGCCAAGUACUGACGCUGAGGCACGAAAGCGUGGGGAGCGAACGGG
This 253-nucleotide ribosomal RNA is filed under the name uncultured bacterium. Its description in RNAcentral is "partial 16S ribosomal RNA". It matches the Rfam family "Bacterial small subunit ribosomal RNA", at positions 524 to 776 of the family's 1533-position model. The record is from RNAcentral.